CAGUCGCCGCGGUAAUACGAAGGGUGCAAGCGUUAAUCGGAAUUACUGGGCGUAAAGCGUGCGUAGGCGGUUUGUUAAGUCUGCUGUGAAAUCCCCGGGCUCAACCUGGGAAUGGCAGUGGAUACUGGCAAGCUAGAGUGUGUCAGAGGAUGGUGGAAUUCCCGGUGUAGCGGUGAAAUGCGUAGAGAUCGGGAGGAACAUCAGUGGCGAAUGCGGCCAUCUGGGACAACACUGACGCUGAGGCACGAAAGCGUGGGGAGCAAACAGGAUUAGAUACCCCUGUAGUCCCUGUCUCUUAUAC
Molecule: ribosomal RNA, 301 nt
Filed under: uncultured bacterium
Lineage: Bacteria
Description: partial 16S ribosomal RNA
Rfam family: Bacterial small subunit ribosomal RNA
Source: RNAcentral